UGGGUACGACCAUACUUGGCUGAACAUACCAUAUCCCGUCCGAUUUGUGAAGUCAAACAGCCACAGGCCUGGUUAGUACUGGGGUCAGUGAUGACCCGGGAACCCCAGGUGUUGUACUCCCUCACAACACUUUUUUUUC
Molecule: ribosomal RNA, 139 nt
Filed under: Trypanosoma sp. RS-2013
Lineage: Eukaryota; Euglenozoa; Kinetoplastea; Trypanosomatida; Trypanosomatidae
Source: RNAcentral